UGUCUCAAAAAUAAAUAAACGUUAAAAAAAAAAAAAAAAAAGACGGUCCAGGACAUACACAGAAGUCAAAUGAUCCAAAGAAAGGCUUGAGCUCUUUGCAUAAGUGUGGCUGCUACCACCACGGCGUGGAGGCAUCCAGAAGAACUGAGAAAUAAUGCUAUCGGUCUAGAGUCAAAUGCCAGCUUCAGAGCUCAAUUCUGCCAGCAGUCAGUGUCUUUGUUUCCAUGGUAAAUCACGUGGAAAGCUUUUUCAAAAUUUGGAAUCCUCACAGCGUGGGGAGAGACCGUGACCAAUUUCAAUGGUUCAAAAGCUUCCUGCGGAUUCUAGGGAUCCGACACAAGGGUCUAGAGUAUUAUCAGUCGGUUGGUCUAUCAGAGGAUUUGCCCGCUCUUGAAAAAGCUGGAAUCCACCGUGGAGAAUAUGUCACUUGUCCCCCAAUUGUUGCUUUGUUGUUGUUGUUGUCGCUGUUGGCUAUUUCAUCUGAGAAAUUGGCUAACUCCGGCAUUCUAACACUUUGUGGACUUCCACGACAAAUUCCCUAAAUAUGUGACCCCAGUUUGGCAAUAUUGCAGUUUGUCUAGUGAGGCCGUAUGUCCCCGCCAGGUGAGGAAUGGCGAGAAGCCAAAGUAUCACUUCUGCGUUACACUUCAGUUUCUGAAGCUACCAGCAAAUCAUCCCCAUACCGCAUAAUUAUAGAUCGCUCGGCGAGACAGAUUUCCCUAAACGGGCUAGACAAAACAGUAGGAGUCCCCCAAAUCCUGAGGAACAUUUUGCUCUGAACACUGGACUCCUUCAAAGGUAAAAGCAAAUGGGAAUUGGAACUCAUUAGCUAGAGGAACAGAAGAAGAAAAAAAAAAAACACAGCAGAAUGUAGAGAAAAACUGUAGGCGACAGAAUCAAAGUCAGAAAAGUUGCAGGGGGACCAUGGAGCUUAAUGAAACGACAAACUUAUUCACCUCUCUCAGAUCUGGUACAAAGCCCUACAGGGGCCAACCCUCUAUCUCAAGGUCACCUUCCCUCCUUGCUGGAGGUAUGGGAAUAUGACAGAGUGAGUGUCCCUUUGAAAAAAUGAUGGCUUGUUUUCUGAUUUUUUUCAAUAACGUGUUUGAUUUUCUCCAGCUGAGCCCUUGACGAAGGAUCUGGUUUUCCACAUGGCCCUGGCUUACCUUUUCGGUAAGGUAUUUUUAUCAGUUCUAUAUCCCCAGUUAAACCAGGAUACUAAAUCCCAAAGCCCCAGAGUGGUGCAUGGAUCUGUCUCAGCUGGGUGCUUUUCCAGCAUGGUCUGAGACUGCCACUCUGCGAUUCCCCCUUUCUUUCAGGAGGCACAGGGUCGCCGGGUCAGCCUUUUGUCCAGGGAGGUCCACAAACACUCCACUGGAGCACAGAAUACGGUAGGUUCUCACGUGCACAGCAAGCAUGUCCCCUGCGGAUUUACUCGGGAAUCAGGAGAGAGUAAGAAUGCUGUUCCUCAGCCAGGGAGGGAACCACAGAGAAAGAGGAACCGUUGAGAACUCUUGCUUUUGGGUGGAGUCUUUUAAAAAAUGGUAAUUAGGUCAACAUUGUUUACAGCAUUGCUAAACCUUCUGUGUCCCUACCGAUUUUAUCUACAGUUAUCAACUACUGAGAGAGGGAUGUGAACAUUUCUAACUAUAAUGGUGGAUUAUUUAUAAAUAUAUUCUAAAUAGGAUGCGCAUAAAUGGUGGUCUACUUCCCCUGGCAAUUCUAUCAGUUUCUGCCUCACGCAUUUCGAAGUCCUGUUAUUUAAGUGCGUGCAUAUUCAGGAAUGUCCUGUCCUCCCCUGAAUGCAGCAUAUUAUGAAAUGUUUCCCUAUCACCCUGCUAAUAGUCCUUUUGCGGUCUUCUCUGUCUGAUACUGAUACAGCUACUUCAUGUGUGUAUUAUGGAGUGCUUGGCUGGUAUAUCUCUUUCAUUCUCGCACUUUUAACCAGCCGUGUCUUUAUAUUUAAAGCGUGGUUCUUAUAGAGGGCAUAUUUUGGGUCUUGCUUUUUUACCCAGUCUGAUAAUACCUGCCUUUUGUUUGCAGUCUUUAGGCCAUUUACAUUUAAAGUAAUUAUUAAUCGGACGUGCCUUGAUGUGGUUUUCUUUAUGUUUCCUUGUGCUUCAGGUUCACUGAACCUCGAUCUGUUGGUUUCUGUCAAAUUCAGAAUAUUUCAGGACAUUAUUCUUUGAAGUUUUUCCUGCCUCUUCUCAUUCUGGGACUUCAGUGACAUGAACGCUGGACCAUUUGCUAUUGUCCGACAAGUCCUUGAUGUUCUUUUCUCCCGUCUCUGUAUUUGCCUUCUCUGAUCUUUACUCUCUAAUAUCCACUCUGCUGUAAAUCCCAUCUAGUCUUUCUUUUUAAAGUAUCUUCUUUUUCACUCCUGAUCCUCUGCAUUCUUGAGUACACAGAGGAUAUUUAUAACUGUUUCUGUGUCUUUGUCUAUUAAUUGCCUCAUCUCUGCCACUUAGCGAUCUGCUUCUCCUGAUAGAUUUUCCCCUUGAUUAUGGGUAAUGUCUUCCUGCUUCUUUCCAUGCCUAGUGAUUUUUUUCUGAAAAAAAAAAAAUUAAAUACUGGUAAAAUAUAUAUAACACAAAAUUUACCAUCGUAACUGUUUUCUAAGUGUGCCGUUCAGUGUGCUAGUCAAUGUGUUAACUACAUUCACAUUACUGUGUGACCAUCACUGCCAGACUCCAAACUUGCAAAGCUGAAACCCUGUCUCCCUGAAAAAAUAAUGUCCCUCCCCCCUCCCUCCCCCACCCAGCCCUGGCGGCCACCACUCUACUUUCUGUCUCUAUGAGUCUGAGUACUCUGGGGACCUCAUAUGAUUGGAAUCAUGCAAUAUUUGUCCUCUUGUGAUUUGCUUAUUUCAUUUAGCAUAACGUCUUUAAGGUGCAUCCACAUUGUAGCCUGUGACAGGAUUUUUCCCCUUUCUGAGUCAGGCCUACUGAUAUUUAUUUAUUUAUAUUUGAGAGAGAGAGAGAGAGAAUACACAAGUGAAGCAGGGGGUGAGGGGAGUAGAGAAAGAAUCUCAAGCAGAGUCCACACUCAGUGCAGAGCCCUACACAGGGCUUGAUCCCACGACCCCGAGAUCAUCACUUAAGCUGAAAUCAAGAGCUCGCCACUUAACUGACUGAGCCACUGAGGUGCCCCACGCCUACUGAUUUUUAAAAAAAAAUUUUUAACGUUUAUUUAUUUUUCAGAGAGUGCAAGCAGAGGAGGGACAGAGAGAGAGAGAGAGAGAGAGAGAGAGAGAUACAGAAUCUGAAGCAGGCUCCAGGCUCUGAGCUGUCAGCACAGAGCCUGACACGGGGCUUGAACCCAUGAGCUGUGAGAUCAUGACCUGAGCCGAAGUUGGUGCUAAACCAACUGAGCCACCCAGGCACCCCAAGGCCUACUGAUUUUUAACUGAAUGCUAGACCUUGUGAGGUCCCAUUGUCAGGUCCCAAAUGUUGUUGAAUUCCUUUAAAGAGUGUGGGAUUUUCUUCUAACAAACAGCUUGAAAGGAUCAAAUGGAUCUCUAGUAGCUUAGCUGUUUUCCAGAACAAAGUACAGCAGUCUUUCGAGAAAGACAAUAUCUAGUCUCAUGUACUACAAGGCCUCUUUCCAUGCUGGAUUUUUUCCCAGCCCUGCGUGAGUGCCAAUGACUAUUCAGUCUACAAGUUCCAAAUCAGAUUUCUGGGGAAAAAAAAAAAAAGAAAAAAGCUUCCUUAGGGGCACUAAGCAAAAGGCCAAUUAAAAAAUUUUUUUUAAUGUUUAUUUAUAUUUGAGACAGACAGAGCGCAAGUGGGGGAGGGGCAAAGAGAGAGGGAGACAGAAUCUGAAGCUGGCUCCAGGCCCUGAGCUGUCAGCACAGAGCCUGAAGCGGGGCUCCAACUCAUGACCCAUGAGAUCAUGACGUGACCCCAAAGUCGGACACUUAACCUACUGAACCACUCAGGUGCCCCCAAAGGCCAAUUUUAAAUAUUGUAUUGGUAUCCAUGAAGACUCAAGACACCAUAAAUCUAGAAACACAGUCCUAAUUGGCUCAUUCCUAUUAUAAGAAAUGAUAUUUAUCCUCCUAAUAUAAUAUAAACUUCACUAGGAUAUUACUUCUCAUAUGGACAUCAGGCUUAUACUUGUCUACCACAUUCUAAUUUAUUCUGUGUAACCUGAGUAAUUGUUAGAGGUAUCCAGAUAUUUAAAACCACCACCCCUCUAGUCAAUCAUGCGUCCUAAAAGGGACAUCCAGAAAUUCCUAAAACAAAAGAAACACAAAUUAUUCUUAAAAACUUCCAGAAGGGAUCAUCGGUUCUCAUUUCCUGCACACUCCCCAAAAUACAACGCCCACAAAGGGAGCGAAACAACUAGAAAAGGUGUUCACACUUUUCUCUAACCUUCACAAAAGUCAUAAAAGAUGACACUUCUGUUCUGAAGGCCCAACAAACCAAUCUAAAUGCAUUAGCUAAAGUAGCCAUGGCAAUCCUACAAGCUUUGAUUUGCUCUUAGCUAGUCAAGGGGAGCUAACGCUAAAGCACAUCUUGUUACACCUAUGUAAGUGCCAUGGGGCAAGUAGAAAGGUCCGUGAUUGGCUAAAGGAAAAGACCUGACUCUCUAAAACAGACCCACUAGGUUGUGGGACCUAUUGGCUUUGAGACCUAUUACAGGCGUUAAUAGUCAUUUUGUUUGUGUUAAUUGCCUAUUUUACUGUCGAUUUAUAUGUCCUGUCCAGAGUUGUGGUUUUUUUUAUUAAAAAAAAGUUUUUUAAUGUUUAUUUAUUUUUGAGAGAGAGAGAGACAGAGCAUGAGUCGGGGAGGGGCAGAGAGAGAGGGAGACGCAGAAUCUGAAGCAGGCUCCAGGCUCUGAGCUGUCAGCACAGAGCCCGACACGGGGCUCGAACCCAUGAGCUGUGAGAUCAUGACCUGAGCUGAAGUCGGACGCUUCAGCGACUGAGCCACCCAGGCGCCCCUGUCCUGUCCAGAGUUUUAAAUGCUACUGCGUGGUCACUGUCACAUCAGGUCCUACAACAGAGAGAAAAACAGAGAUUGACCUUGGGUCAACUAUGGAGUAUGUUCGAUGCAUGGGCUUUUGAUCUUAAUCAACAACAUCUUGACAAGAGUGAAAAUCUAGACAUCAUGAAUUCAUGUCCUGGAGCCUGACGUCAUCUGUCCUUGGCCAAAAGAGAAACUGAGAGGGGAAAAGCAGCCCCUGACAUCUGGAACUGAUCUAACAGUUGUAGCUAGAUCUCAGCAUGAUCAUGAGCCCGUCUGAGGCUGACAGCCAGGCCAUUUUGUUCUGUUGGAUGUAAGGACCUUCAUAGACUUACCAGCCUCAGAGGUUACUCUGAGACCAUGGGUAAAAAUGAAACAAAACAAAGCUGCUUCAUAAUUUCAUCUAAGAACAGAUGCAAAUAAGGCCACUGACCAUCCCACGAAGUGCCCAAUGAUAAAGCUGUCACUGGCUUUCUAAUAGCACUCCAUCUGGACCAAAUCCAUGGCUUCCUUGAACCCUUCACCAAAUGACCCACCCAACGCCCAAAUCCUGUAACAGGUUGUUUUUUUUUUUUUGCCUAGCACGGGGGCUGUGGAGCGGGCGUGGCCAGGGUUGUAGCUGGGCCACUUACCCGCUGUGUGCCCGUGUCCCAUACACUGUUGCUCUCCCUAUCUCAGUUUCCCCAGACGCAAAAAAAAACCUAGGAGCAUUCUCUUUCAAAGGGAGCUGGCCACAAACAGGGACUGUUUACCAUUCUUAAUUGUUACUAUCGUAAAUCAUCCCAACCACAGCUCAAGAUCUGGGCUCCAGAGAUGCAGAUCUUCCCAGGAGGCCAGACUAAUUUGGGCCCUGUAAGAGGACUGCAGCCGGCCAGGAGCAUGCCUGUCUGCACUCAGCCCUGCCCACUGCCCCUCUGGUCCUUACCACUUCUUCCCUGGCAUGAGCUGGGCAGAGUGGGUCAGAUGGGAGCUGGGUCCAGGCGGUGGGGGUAGGGCAGGCUGUGCUGGCCACAGUCUUCAAGGGUUUAGGCACAGCACCUCGCCAGGCAGGGCCCCAAGUGUCACAGCCACUACUGCGGCUCCUUAGGCCAUCCAAGUGGGCCAGGCUGGCUCAGGGCAGGCUCAUUCUCCAGGUGAAGCAGAAAGGCUCACAGACCUAUUUCCCCUCCAUCUCCUGUAGAACGCAGCCAGCCUCCCCCGCUCCCCUCACACCUACCAUGGAUGGAAGCAUUGCCGUUAGCUUUAAUGUCUAUAUAGCCAACUCCUUCCGGAAUCUAGAGAUUAUCCUUUAAUUCCACAAGGGUGUGGCUUUUUUAUUAUUUAUUUUUAAUCUUUAUUUAUUUUUGAGAGAGAGACAGAGCACGAGCAGGGGAGGGGCAGAGAGAGAGGGAGACACAGAAUCCGAAGCAGGCUCCGGGCCCUGAGCCGUCAGCACAGGGCCCGACGCGGGGCUCGAACUCACAAACCGUGAGAUCGUGACCUGAGCCCAAGUCGGACGCUCAACCGACUGAGCCACCCAGGCGCCCCAAGGGUGCGGCUUUUUUAAAGAAAGAGGUGGUCAGACCUCACCUUCUACUGAGGGCUGAGCCCUGUCUGUAACCCACCCUCCCUCAGCAGAAGAGAGGGGAUUGCAGCAGACAUCUCCUCCCAGCCCAGCCCUGUAUCCUUUCCCCACGACGCAGCAAUGGAUUGCGAGUUGCAAUUCACGCAGCGCCCUUUAACAUUUCUUUUUCAGUUAAAAAAUCUAUUUAUUUUUAUGGUGGUAAGAUCCACAUAACAUAAGCUUGACCAUUUUAACUCUCAGUGUACAAUUCUGUGGCAUUGAGUACAUUCACGUUCUCGUGCAGACAUCACCGCCAUCCAUCUCCAGGACUUUUCUCAUGAUCUCACACAGAAACUUCAGACCCAUUAAAUCAUAUCUUCCCAUCCCUCCCUCUCCCCCAGCCCCUGGUGACCACCACCCUCCCUUCUGUCUCUAUGAAUCUGAUUAUUCUAAGUACUCAUAUAAGUGGAAUCAGACAGUAUUCAUUCUUUUGUGUCUAGCUUAUUUCACUUAGCAUAAUGUUCUCAAGGGUCAUCCCUGUUCUACCACGUGUCAAAAUCAAAUUCCUGCUUAUGGCCUAAUAAUAUUCCAUUGUCGGGGCGCCUGGGUGGCUCAGUCGGUUAAGCGUCUGACUUCAGGUCAGGUCACGAUCUCGCGGUUCGUGUGUUCAGGCUCUGUGCUGACGGCUCGGAGCCCGGAGCCUGCUUCAGAUUCUCUGUCUCCCUCUCUCUCUCUGCCCCUCCCUCGCUCAUGCUCUGUCUCUCAAUAAUAAAUAAAUGUUAAAAAAAUUUAAAAAAAUAAUAUUCCAUCAUGUGUAUAUACGUAUUUGUUUCUCCAUUCAUUUGUGGGUGGAUAUUUGACAUUUCCACCUGUUGUUGGUAAUGCUGCUACGAAUAUCGUAUAUUAAUUUUGUAUUUAAUGUUCUCAGGAACCACCAUUUUGUCUGUAGUCGGCAGUGUUCUCCAUUCCCACCAGCGGUGCACAAGGGAUUCAACUAUUCCAAACCCUUGGCAGCCCUGUGUUUUUGUUUUGUUUUGUUUUGUUUACUAAUAGCCAUUCUCAUAGGUUGUAAUGAUAUUUCAUUGUGAUCUUCAUUUUGCAUCCCCCUCAUGACUAAUGAUGCUGGGCAUCUUUUCAUAGGCUUAUUGGCCAUUCAUACAUCUUCUUUGGAGAAGAGUUCUUUAUAUAUUCUAGAUACUAGACCUUUAUCAAAUACAUGAUUUGCAAAUGUUUUUUCUCAUACUAUAAGUUGUCCUUGCCCUUUCUUAACGGUGUCCUUUGAUGCACAGACAUUUUUAAUUUUUACGGAGUCCAAUUUAUCUGUGUUUCUUUUGUUACUUGUGCUUUUGGUGUUGUAUAGGAAUCAACUGCUAAAUCCAAAGUCGUGAAGAUUCACCCCUAUGUUUUCUCCUAAAAGUUCCAUGGAUUCAGCUCUUAUAUGUUGAUCAUCGAUUUAAAACUUAAUUUGUAAAUCAGUUAAGGGAAAAGAGUAGAUGAAAUAUGCAUUUAUAUAUUUUUUUAUGAUUAGAGAUACCUUUAUCAGUUCUGUGUGUGUGUGUGUGUGUGUGUGUGUGUGUGUGUGUAUGAAUUCCCAUCUGAGUUUAGUUGCUUUCAGCCUGAAGAAUAUUCUUCAGUAUGUCUUUUUUUUUUAAUGCUUAUUUAUUUUUGAUAGAGAAAGAGAGAGUGCGCACAAGCAGGGGAGGGGCAGACACAGAGGGAGUCAGAGAAUCCAAAGCAGGCUCCAGGCUCUGGGCCGUCAGCACAGAGCCCAAUGAGGGGCUUGAAAUCAUAGACUCUGAGACCAUGACCUGAGCCAAAGUCGGAUGCUCAACUGACUGAGCCACGCAGGCAACCCCCCCACCAUUUGAUUCUUGCAUAUAAUUUCUUUUUUUUUAAUGUUUAUUUAUCUAUUUUGAGUGAGAGAGAGAGCAGGUGUGUGCAAGAGGGGGAGAAGCAGAGAGAGAGAAAGAGAGAGAGAGAGAGAGAGAGAAUCCCAAGCAGGCUCUGCACUGUCAGCAUGGAGCCCGAUGCGGGGCUUAAACUCACAAUCCCGUGAGUUCAACCUGAGCCGAAGUCGACAGUCUGGAGGCUUAACAGACCAAGCCACCCAAGGGCCCUGCACACAGAAUUUUCACAUAUGUCAUUAAGGAAAGGUCUACACAAAUCCCACGAUACUAGUGUUAAACACAGAGACAUGCUACACAGAAUCUAAAUACACUGGACUCUGUUAAACGCCAAGUUUUAACAUACAUUGUUAAGCAAGUACAUCCACGAAACAGUACAACUAAAUACAGUGUUUCACAAACCUAUUACACACCGUGCCCUGUUAAACGCAGCGUUCGCACAUAUCUCAACAAAGCAAUUCAUUCGUGCACCACCCAGUGCUAAAAACACUGCUUCACAGAGGAAUCAUAUACUGAAUCAAUCACACGCGUCGCUCUUAAAUGCCAAGUUUCAGCACGUGUCACUGAAGAAAAGGUGCAUGUGCCACACGGCACUAACCACAAUGUAUCAGAGACAGCACUGUUCCGAAUCACGGACACACCUACCGUGUUUAGCAACUUGCCACGGAUGUAUACCUUUCUUGGUGGCGCAUGCUUAAAAUGUUUUAAAAAUAGCGUAGGGGAGCGCCUGGGUGGCUCGGUCGGUAAAGCGUCCGACUUUUGCGCACGUCAUGAUCUUGUGUCUCGUGGGUUCGGUCCCCACAUCAGGCUCUGGGCUGACAGCUCGGAGCCUGGAGCCUGCUUCGGAUUCCGUGUCUCCCUCUCCCUCUGCCCCUCCCCCGCUCACACUCUGUCUCUAAAAUAAGUAAACAUUGAAAAAAUUAAAAGGAAAAACUAUCCUAUGAUCUAGAAACCAUUAAAUAAAUAAAUAAAUAAAUAAAUAAAUAAAUAAAUAAGCAAGCUUGGGUACAUGAUUAUUAUAUAUGGGUAUAUAUACCCAAUAUAUACCCAAUAUAUAUAUUGGGUACAUGAUAUUAUAUAUAUAUAUAUGUACAUAUAUAUAUACACAUUAUAUAUAUAUAUAUAUUUAUAUUUAUAUAUAUUUAUAUACUUAUAUACUUUAUAUAUGUAUAAAGCUUGGGUACAUGAUUGAUUCCAGAAAGUGAAGUCUCUGUGAAAAACUGCUUAGAAAUGCAUAGUGCAUGUCACCAACUGACGCAUGUUGACAUUGGAAUAAUAGGCCAGCGUGUGUGAUUUAUUCCUUGGCGGUACAUCCCUGUAAAAGAGCGUGUUUAUGCACAUACUCCUCUCUUGACUGACAGAAGUGGAAACUUUGCAGAACAGAGCUGGGGGCCUGAAUAUUUAGUAUACGACGUCUGCCUGAUGCACUCUGUGGAGCCCUGUGUGGUACAUUUGCUCCGGACCUCGUGCCAUACGUUGAAACUCUUCACACAAGUACGACAGGUGGUGACUGACCUGGUACAUAGAUGUCCGUGUGAAAGGAUGCGUGUGACACGGUGUGCGUGUGUACUCAUUUCUUUAUCGCCAUAUAUUGAGACUUCUGUUCAUCAGAGCUCUGUGCGUGACCGAUUUAGUACAGAGAUGACUGAAUCGCUGUGUUCAGUUCUCUGUCACGCAUGUCCCUUGCUGACAUCUGUUGAAACUCGUCCUGUCAGAACUAGGUGCGUGUUUUCUUUGUCGUGGUGAAGUCUCUGGGAACCAUUAUGAUUAAGAAUUGGUGCAUCAUGGCCCUUUCAUGAGGAUGGAACUGAAAGAGAAGGAGGAAGCCCUUGCCGUUCCCAAAGCCAAAGCCCGCAAAGGCUUUGAAAGCCGAGAAAGCUGUGCUGAAAGGUGUCCAAAGUCCCAUACGAAAAAGAAGAUCCGCAUCCACAUUCCGAAGGCAGCCCAGAUAGCCUCCAAAGAGCACCCCCAGGAGAAACAAGCUUGACCGCUAUGCCAUCACCAAGCUCCCCCUGACUUCCGCGUCAGCCAUGAAGAAAAUAGAAGAACACAGCACACUUGUGUUCAUUGUGGACGUCCAGGGCAACAAGCACCAGAUCAAACAGGCUACGAAGAAGUUCUAGGACGCUGACGUGGCCAAGGUCAACAUGCUGAUCAGGCCCGAUGGAGAGAAGAAGGCAUAUGUUCGGCUGACUCCUGACUAUGAUGCUUUGGACGUUGCCAGCAAAAUUGGGAUCAUCUGAGCUAAGCCCAGCUGGCUAAAUCUAAAUAUAAAUUUUUCAACAUACAGAAAAAGAAUUUAUGCAUCAUUUACUCCUCUUUAGUGACGUUAGCACACGGUUGUGUGUGCACUCUGUUUUUAGUGAUCAGUGUUGGCACUCUGCGUUUGAAGGACUAGGUGCAUGAAUGAUUAAAUAUAGUGAUAUCCACCGUGUUUAACGUUGUGUGACUCGUGUAUUUUGUCGUUUGCGACAUGUGUCGAAAUUCAGUGUUUUUCUAAAAAAUUUUAAAUGUUUUUUAUUUAUUUUUGAGAGAGAGACAGAGACAGAGACGGAGUGCAGCGGGGGAGGGGCAGAGAGAGAGAGAGACACAGAAUCCAAAGCAGGCUCCGGGCUCCGAGCGGUCAGCACAGAGCCGGACGCGGGGCUCGAACCCAUGAGCUGUGAGAUCAUGACCCAAGCCAAAGUUGGAUGCUUAACCAACUGAGCCACCCAGGCGCCCUGAGACUCCACAUUUAAAAGAGCUCUGGGAGAGGUUGAGUCAGUGCGGUGACAUCUCUGUGAAUUUCUGGUUAGCAGGUGCUCUUUCCUCUCUUAUUGGUAUGUGUGGAAACCAACUCACCGGAGCUGGGUGCAUAGUUGACUCAGAACAGCGAUGUCGUGGAGAAAUGUUUAGCAUAUGGGCUCUUUGGCUUAGUGCCAUGGAUUGAAACCUGUGUCUCACAAGCCCCCUCUGGAAUAAAGUCAGCCUAACGACCUCUCUUCUAAAGCUUGUUGUACCGUUUAGCCGCGGUGUCCUAGGUGUCCAACUUUCUCUAGUUGCCUAUGUUGAAACAGUGUCUAACUGAGCUCUUUGCAGGAUUGAUGCAGGGGUGAUAGAUCUGUGAAACACUGUGUUUUGGAGAGGGUGGGGGGUUGCUCUGUUUUUAGUAACAUGUAACUAAAAUAUUCUUUACUUAGUAUGUAGUGUGUUACUAUCUAAGUAACAAAACUCUGCAUCUGAGCCCGCACGUGAUUGAAUCAGUACCAUGUCAGGGAAGCGCUGUGUUUAGCAGCCAGAGCUGCCUGGGCUUCUUCUCUCGUUCCCUGGUUCUAUUUAAAAAUUGAGAUAUAGGGGCGCCUGGGUGGCUCAGUUGGUUAGGCGACCGACUUCGGCUCGGGUCAUGAUCUCACACUCUGUGAGUUCAAGCCCCGCAUCGGGCUCUGGGCUGACAGCUCAGAGCCUGGAGCCUGCUUCAGAUUCUGUGUCUCCCCCUCUCUCUACCCCUCCCCUGCUCACACUCUGUGUCUCUGUCUCUCAAUAAUAAAUAAACAUUACAAAAAUUGUUUUAAUAAAAAAAUAAAAUAAAAUAAAAAUUGCGAUAUAGGGGUGCCUGGGUGGCUCAGGCGGUUAAGCGUCCGACUUCAGCUCAGAUCAUGAUCUCACAGUUUGUGAGUUCGAGCCCUCCCCCCCCCCAUUGGGCUCUCUGCUGUCGGUGCAGAGCCUGUUUUGGAUCCUCUGUUCCCCUGUCUCUCUGCUUCCCCUGCUCACGCUCUCUCUCUCUCUCUCUCUCAAAAAUCAACAUUAAAAAAAGAUAUACCCUCUUAGCAGCUUUCACAUAUAUAAUACAGUAUGUUAACUAUAGUCAUUAUGCUGCAUAUUACAUCUCUAAGGCUUAUUUAUUUUUAACCGGGAGUUGUACAAUCUUUUGACCAUCUUCCCCCAUUUUGAACAUUUCCUACCACUCACCUCUGGCAAUCACCAAUCUGUUCUCUGAAUCUAUGGACUCAGUUUUUGUUUUUUUUGUUGUGUGUGUGUUUUUAUUUUAUUAUUUUUUAUUUUUUAUUUUUAUCAUGUUCUUUUUUUAAUUUAUUUUUUAAAAUUUACAUCCAAGUUUAGUUAGCAUAUAGUGCAACAAUGAUUUCAGGAGUAGAUUCCUUAAUGCCCUUACCCGUUUAGCCCACACCCCCUCCCAAAACCUUCCAGUAACCCUUUGUUUGCUCUCCAUAUUUAAUUUUCUUUUUUAAAUAAUUUUUUUAAUGUUUAUUUAUUUUUGAGACAGAGAGAGAGCAUGAGUGGGGGAGGGGCAGAAUGACAGGGAGACACAGAAUCUGAAGCAGGCUCCAGGCUCCGAGCCAUCAGCACAGAGCCCGACGAGGGGCUUGAACUCAUCAACCGCGAGAUCAUGACCUGAGCCAAAGUCGGACGCUCAACCGACUGAGCCACACAGGUGCCCCAUCCAUAUUUAAGUUUCUUAUGUUUUGUCUCCCUCUCUGUUUUCAUAUUAUUUUUGCUUCCCUUCCCUUAUGUUCAUCUGUUUUAUAUCUUAAAUUCUUCAUACCAGUGGAGUCAUAUGAUAUUUAUCUUUCUCUGAUUGACUAAUUUUGCUUAGCAUAAUACCCUCUAGUUUCAUCCACAUAGUUGCAAAUGGCAAGAUUUCAUUCUUUUUGAUUCUCGAGUAAUACUCCAUUAUAUAUAUAUAUAUAUAUAUAUAUAUAUAUAUAUAUAUAUAUAU
This 13128-nucleotide long non-coding RNA is filed under the name Lynx pardinus (Iberian lynx). Lineage: Eukaryota; Metazoa; Chordata; Mammalia; Carnivora; Felidae. The record is from RNAcentral.